GACAGAGGGUGCAAACGUUGUUCGGAAUUACUGGGCGUAAAGCGUGUGUAGGCGGCUUUGCAAGUCGGAUGUGAAAGCCCCGGGCUCAACCCGGGAAGUGCACUCGAUACUGCAGAGCUUGAGUGUGGGAGAGGUUGGUGGAAUUCUCGGUGUAGAGGUGAAAUGCGUAGAUAUCGAGAGGAACACCUGCGGCGAAGGCGGGUAGCUGGGCCGACACUGACGCUGAGGCGCGAAAGCCAGGGGAGCGAACGGG
RNAcentral lists this ribosomal RNA (253 nucleotides) under uncultured bacterium. RNAcentral describes it as "partial 16S ribosomal RNA". It matches the Rfam family "Bacterial small subunit ribosomal RNA", at positions 524 to 776 of the family's 1533-position model. The record is from RNAcentral.